RNAcentral lists this ribosomal RNA (439 nucleotides) under uncultured bacterium. RNAcentral's name for it is "partial 16S ribosomal RNA". It matches the Rfam family "Bacterial small subunit ribosomal RNA", at positions 339 to 795 of the family's 1533-position model. The record is from RNAcentral.
CUACGGGUUGCAGCAGUAGGGAAUAUUGGACAAUGGGGGAAACCCUGAUCCAGCAAUGCCGCGUGAGUGAUGAAGGCCUUAGGGUUGUAAAGCUCUUUCGCCCACGACGAUGAUGACGGUAGUGGGAGAAGAAGCCCCGGCUAACUUCGUGCCAGCAGCCGCGGUAAUACGAAGGGGGCUAGCGUUGUUCGGAAUUACUGGGCGUAAAGCGCGCGUAGGCGGCGUAUUAAGUCAGGGGUGAAAGGCCUGGGCUCAACCCAGGAACUGCCUUUGAGACUGGUGCGCUCGAGUUCGGAAGAGGGUAGUGGAAUUCCCAGUGUAGAGGUGAGAUUCGUAGAUAUUGGGAAGAACACCGGUGGCGAAGGCGGCUACCUGGUCCGAUACUGACGCUGAAGUGCGAAAGCGUGGGGAGCAAACAGGAUUAGAUACCCUCGUAGUC